This 118-nucleotide ribosomal RNA is filed under the name Periophthalmus magnuspinnatus. Lineage: Eukaryota; Metazoa; Chordata; Actinopteri; Gobiiformes; Gobiidae. The record is from RNAcentral.
UACAAAGACCAUGCCAACUUGUCAAAGCUUGAUCCUGUCAGAUCUCAGAAGCUGAAUAAGGCCAGGCCUGGUCAGUACUUAGAUGGGAGACUGCCAGGAAUACCAGGUGGCACCGUGU